This is a long non-coding RNA of Nicotiana attenuata, 2195 nucleotides long. RefSeq lists it as uncharacterized. The record is from RefSeq and is a predicted model, not a curated record. Lineage: Eukaryota; Viridiplantae; Streptophyta; Magnoliopsida; Solanales; Solanaceae. The transcript is spliced from 2 exons.
UGUUAUGCACUCCAAGCUUACCUAAUAGAAGCUCAUCCUGCACCCUUCUAACUUCUAAGCCCUUUAGUUAAUAAAUCUGCUCGUUGAUCAUUUCUUCCAAUUUGCAUAGUAUUAAUCUUUCCUUCCUUUAUUUUGUCCCUGACAAAGUGACAAUCUAUUUCAAGUUUCUCCGUGAAAAAUGGAUUGGUUGUAAUUUGCAAUGCUCAUUAGCUAUCACAAUACACAUCCACUAGUUGCUUGAUAGGAACCCCAAGCUUUGUACACAACCCUAAAAUCCAAAUAAUUUCUGCAGUUCCUGCUGUUAAACUUCUGUACUCUGCUUCUGAGAACUUCUUAAGAUAAUUUACUAUGUUAUUUUACUUCCAUGAGAUUAGUGAUUCACCAAACUUCACUAGAUGACUUGUGACUGAUCUCCUAGUAUUUGAAGAAGCUGCCCAAUCUACAUCACAGAAAUAUGUAAAAAGUGCUUGCAUGAAUUGGCUUAAUGCAAAACAAAGAUAAUAUCAGAUCUUAUGAUUGUCAAGUAUAUCAGCAUCUCUAUUAACCUCUGGUAUGCAAAUACAUCCUUUAAUGUCACACCCACAUGUUCAUCAAAUCUGCAGAAAUGAGCUACUGAUUCUACUGGAGUGGCUGUUGGCUUAGUUCCUCUUAAUUAUAAAUCUGAUAUUAAUUGAAGUGCAUAUUUCCUAUGGUUUAGUAGAUUUUCUUUACUGGAUCUCAACACCUAUAUCCCUGGUCUUCUAAUUUAAACGUCUGAUGUAGAGAGUAUCUUUUGUCUCCUGAAUAAACUGAUCAUUGGACCCUUAUAAUUAGUAGAUCAUCAACAUAUAUUAAGAUAGCCACAAGGUCUAUCCCUUUCUUCUUUGUAAAUAAGGAAGUGAGUCUUCAGUAAGCUUGAUAUUCAUUGCUUUGAUGCACGUUUCAACCUAUAUAAAUACUUUACCAACUUGCACACCUUUAUUUCCCCAUGUCUCUUAAAUUCUUGAGGUAUCUCCAUGUACACUUUUUCAUACAAAUCUCCUUUCAAGAAAGCAUUAUUUAUGUUUAUUUGAUACAUAUUCCAUCCUUUGGAGCUACUAAUGGAAUGACAGAUCUCAUAGUCACCAUUUUCUUUAACUCGUGAGAAUGUCUCAUGAUAGUUCAAUUCCUCUCUUAGAUUGUAUCAUUUGGCAACUAAUAUAGCCUUAUAUCUUUAUACUUUCCCAUUAACUUUAAACUCUAUCUUGUAUAUCCACUUUAAGCGAAUUGUAUUCGUUCCUUUGGGCAAAUCCACUAUCUCCCAUGUCUUGUCCAAGGCUUUGGUUUCUAGCUCUAUUGCUUCAAUCCACCUCUUGUCCUUUGAAGCUCCUAUUAAAAUCUGUGGUUCUGUGAGUAUUGAAAUUUGUAUUUUGUUGGGAGCUUUCUAUAGUACAGAUAAUUAGAGAGUGGAUAUGAAGUGACUCCAUGGCCUUCUUUAUGGUCACGUAAUCAUAUAACCAUAAAGGCUCUUUAGUAUUUCUUUGAGAUCUUCUCAAUGCAUGAGCUCCAAACUCAGAAUUUUCAAGCCCAACUUCUGAUUCUGCAGUUUGUAAGCAUUUCUAUUGGCUCGACUUCAAGUUCAUUUGCGGUAGACUUUCUAGCUGACGUUGUUGUAUCCACUAAGUCAUCAGUAUUGUUAUCAGCAACAUGUGUAGAUUCUAUUAGGACAUCCACACGAACAUGAUCAAUGUUAGUUUCUGCAGACACAACAGGCACAAAAGUAGUUUCUACUUUUUCAAAGGGUUCAUGAUCAAUUGACACAUUCCCCCAGUCAAGAAUCAUAGAAGGCUAAAACAGUAAAGCUGAAGUACAGGAAGAUCAAUCAAAAAGGAACAGAUGCUCCUAAAAGACCACAUCCUUGCAAACGAAAAAUUAGUUAGUGGAAAGUUCCAACAACUUGUAUCCCUUUUGUGUUUCAGUAUAACCUAGAAGAACUGAUGGUCGGCCUAGCUGGAAACUUAUGUUCCUUAAGCAUAGUGGUGGCAUAACACCCCAAAACUCUCAUGCAAGCAAUUGAGGGUUGGCAUUGUAUACAGGGUGAUUUACUAAUCAGGAUAGAAGUAGGCAGUCUAUUAAUAAUGUACCUAUAAGUACACAUUCUCCCCAUUACCUUGUGGUUAGAUAUUCCUGAAACUUUAAUGCUCUACAGUAUAUAAGAUGUAUCGGUGCUUUCUCUA